CCUUAAAACAGAAAUUCGUCCCUACUCAGUGCUUGUAGUUCUACGGACGUCUGCUUCACCAGGAUUCAACGAUCAAGUUAGAAUUCCAGCACCGGAAAACUUAACUUGUGGCGAACUUCUGUGUGGUUCUCUCAGAAAGGAUGUUUGAGAUUGUAGAAGAAGAAUAUUGAUUUUCUGUGUCCUAAAUGCCAUGCAGAUGGAUGUAUAUAUAAUAGAAGGAUGCCUGUUCGCAACAGGUAUGAUAAUGAGAUGUGUCUGUUGGGAGACAUCUUCUCCAGAUGGGUGCUUUGCUCUGUGUUCUUUCUGAACUCUUCAGACUUCAUCUGAAAGGAUGAGUCUAUUGGUAAAAAAUAAAUAAUUAAUUAAAUUCGAAAUCAAUUAAAAAUAAUUAAUUAAAUCCGAAAAUAAUUAAUUAAAUAAUUUAAUUAUUAAAGCCCGAGCCCCAAGGCCCAAGGCCCAUCUUUUGAUAAUUAUAUUAAUUAUAUAUAUAUAUAUAUAUUAAUUAUAAUUAAUUAAUUAGUGCACCCCAAAGCCCAACCCCAAGGAUGAGCUCAAUUUUAUUCUCCAGGCCUAUUACUCCAAUCACUUUCUAUAAAGGAUAAAGCCUUAUAAAGUGAUAAAAUCUUUUGGGAAUGGCUAAUGUGGGACAAAGAAAUUUCUACUCAAACUAUUCAAAUUUCCAACAAUACCCCACAUUUGAGUUGAAAUUUCAUUCAAACUCCAACAAUUACCCCACAUUUGAAUGCAAAUGUAAAUGCAAAUGGAUGACUAGGCUGCCUAAGAAUGAGAGAGAAUAGACAUGAUAUGCAUCGAGUGAAGUGUCUUUUGGACUUGAACUUACCCUAGUGAAAACAUAUUGGGUUUACUUGGUGAUGCAGUGGAUGUGGAAGAUCUUGAACUGUCCACCGCAGUAGUAAACCGAGACAAUAUGUUACACACAUAUCAUGUUUGCCACACGUAAAUUCAUACGGUUAUGUUCAUUUUGGCCCUAAACAGAUCCCGGAUUUCGUAGGAGCUUUAGAAUUUAGCCAUGUCAAUUCUCAUAAAUGUGGCCCCAUUUGCUCCUAUAUAAGUGACAUUAAUUAAGAAUAGUCUGCCAUAUUCCUCUUGAUAACAAGAUAUUAAUGUCAUUAAAUGUAUAAAACAUAACCCCUCAAACGUCAACAGACAACACACAUUUUAUCAUAAGAAUGGGUAAGUUGUGUAUUCAACUUUGGAAUCAAACUCAACCAGUUUGCCUAUUGAACCUAGACCAUGGGAUCUCCAAUCAGCUAGGUUAGGUUUCCGCCCAGUUCGAUUCAUUGAAUUGGCUUAAGACCCAUUCCCCUCGAUGUAAAUAAUAUUUGCUCUUUUGGUAGGCCUUUUUGAUCGGAUCAUAUUUAUAUAUAUUUUUACUUCGAAUUCACUCGUCUUUUCUUAGUUAGUUCCUUAUAUUUUUGAGCUAUUUACGUUAUUUUUGUGUUUAUAGGAUCUGUUAUGCAAAGAAAAUAAAAAUAGCACAAAUGAGUUUAAAUAAUAAACUGAAAGAAUAUUGGUUUUAUUUUUGGAUUGGGUUUUAUUUUGGUUUAUUUUGGUUUAUUUUAUAUGCAUUGAAUUGAUUGUUUCAUAGAAUAUUGGUUUUGGAUUUGUUACUUGAAUCUGCUAAUUAUAUUUGAAUUGAUAUAAUAAUGACUUUAGUUACUAUGGUUGCAUUUCUGUUGGUCUAUUGUUUCACAUUUAUAUUUGAGUAGGUGUGUAAAUGUGUGCAUGUAUUUGAAGUAGAUGAAAAUCAUGGUAUUGUUUGUGGCUUUUGUGUAGAAAAAAUCCCUUAUAUUGAAUCUGGUGAGUAUGUGGCCUAUAAUAACGAAAAGGAGAAAACAAGUGGAGACAGCUACGGAAAAGAAACGAAAAAGGCAGAAAACGGGGGACAUGCGGGGGGAAAGAAGAAGUGAAGCAUGAGCCUCGGGGAUGGAAUAAAAAUUAAAAGGCGGAAAGGAAAUUAGGCAGCUGGAGGAAAAGAGGGACACGGCAUAAUUAAGCAGGGAAUAAAAUAUGAAGACAGAAAGGAAUCCAGGGUGGAAACGUGAGGAGUGGAAAGCAGGUGUGAACGGGGGAGCUGCCUUGGGAGCAGCUCGCAGAGACGCAAGGGAGAUAGCUGCUUUGCAGUACUGGGAGAAGGUCAGGGGCUGCCAUUUGGCAGCUUGAGCAAGGACUGGUCAGCAAGUCAGUAACGAGAGGGAGAGAAUAAGUGCUGCCUUUGGCAGCGAGAGACUGGCGCAGCCAGAGGUUAGUCAAAGUGGGCAGCGGAAGAGAAUAAAAGAGAAUAGAGGGAAGAAGACUGGCGGGGAGACACAGGAAGAAGGUCAGGCAGGAAGAGUGGAGAAAGACUGACAGUGUGGGCACGAACGCAGCAGAUUCUCUCGGUUUAAUCUUUCCAAACUUCUAUUUUAUUUCUAUUUUAAUAAUGUGUAAAUAAACUUAUUUUGGCUAGAGGUUAAUUCAAAGCCAUGAAUAUAUUUGUAAUUUGAAUUGAUUAUCUUCAGUUGUGAUUUCUGAGUUGUGAUUUAAUUUGCUUAACUGCUUGAUUGAUAACUUAUUUUUGUAUGUCGAUUAAGGAUGCAUACUUAAUUUACAUGCAUGAAUUUGAUGCUAGAAUAUAAGGGAGUUUCACCUAAUCGUUAUGAACUUAUAUUCACAGGUAGUGAAGGUUGCUAGUCACAAUCACGUUAAGUAAAUUCUUGGCAUAAGUUUCAUGCAAAUCAUAGUAACGAGUGCCUCGUCAAUGCUUAUGUUUUUCAUAGAACUUAAUGAUUCUUGCUUGUAUCUCUAUUAUGCAAUUCAUGUAGGGAACUUGUAGGGAAUGUUUUGGGUUGUCGUAUGCAAUCAUCCAACCCAAUAACUUGUGGAAAAACUGAGGGUUAAUUAGUGCAAUUCACGGUUAAUUUGGGGCGUUGAGAUUUACAAUUUAUUGAAAGAACAACUGAAAAAUCAAUUUAGGUUGCAUAUGUGUCAUGUGUGGAGAAGAACCCUCUAGCUAGUCCGUCACCUAUCCUUUCACCUUAAUUUCAUGUUUUUGUCAAUUCUGUAAUUUAUUUAAGUUUAAUUUACUUCUCGUCAAAACCAAACUACCCCCAUUAUUAAAUUAUUUUAUUUAGUUAGUUUUCAUUGUUGUUAGUCUUUUAAUUCAAUUUCCGUCCAUUUCAGUUCCUAGUGUCUAAUUUGAUUGUUUUCAUUAUUUUGAGUCAUUCUAAGUGUGUUUCGAGUUAUUAGAGUUUUUAGCCUAGUUUUGUGUCCUUGAGUCUUGUUUAAUAUUUUUAAAUUAAUUUAGGAUAGAUUAGCAAUCCCUCCUAAUCCCCGGCCUAGAACGAUACCCUACUUACAUCUAUACUACAAUUGUCAAAAAGAGGGUUUAAUUUGUGUGUCAAGUAAUUCUCGCAUCACUUUUGUCAAAGGAUCAUCUAUAUUUUCCGUUGACUUUACAUAAUCAAUGAAUAUUAUUCCAUUGGAGAGCAACUUCUUAAAAGUAUUAUGUCGACGCUUGAUGACGUAACUUCCCAUUGUAUACAUGACUUUUGGCCCUUGAUUGCGCGGUCAUACUAUCACAAUGUAUACAUAUAGCCGUUACCGGCUUUGGCCACAUUGGAAUAUCCUCCAGAAAAUUGUUGAGCCACUCGGCUUCUUCGCUAGCCAAGUCUAAAGCUAUAAACUUGGACUCCAUGGUGGACCGAGCUAUACAUUUCUGUUUAGAGGAUUUCCAAGAUAUUGCUGAACCUCCCAAGGUAAAAACAUAUCCACUUGUCGACUUGAAUUCUGUAGUGUUAGAAAUCCAAUUGGCAUCACUGAAGCCUUCUACAACAGGUGGAUAUUUUGUGUAGUGUAAUCCGUAGUCAAGUGUAUUUUUCAAAUACCUUAACACUCGUACUAAAGCAUCCCAAUGCUCUUGUGCCAAAUUACUUGUAUAUCUACUAAGCCUACUUACUGCAUAAGCUAAGUCAGGCCUAGUUGAAUUCAUCAAGUACAUUAGACUUCCAAUUACUUGAGAAUAUUCAAGUUGAGAUAUGGCAUCGCCUUUAUUUUUCUCCAACUUGCAUCCAACAUCAAAAGGAGUUGCAGUAGGUUUGCAGUCAAAUUGACCAAACCUUCGUAAUAUUUUUUCUGCAUAAUGGGAUUGUGUAAGGACAUAUCAUUCACUAUUUCUCUUAAUUUGAAUUUCUAAAAUGACAUCGGCUUGACCUAAGUCUUUCAUGUCAAAACUGGAAUUCAACAUUUUCUUUGUUUUGUUUAUUACAUUUUUAUUGCUUCCCAUUAUGAGCAUAUCAUCCACAUACAAGCAGACAAUAACACAAGUUUUAUCAUUACUCUUAAUGUAAACACAUUUAUCAGAUUCAUUUAUUUUGAACCCAUGUGUCAACAAAGUAUGAUCAAAUUUCUCGUGCCAUUGUUUUGGUGCUUGUUUAAGUCCAUAUAAUGACUUAACUAAUUUGCACACUUUGCUUUCUUGUCAUUUAAGCACAAACCCUUCAAGUUGUUCCAUGUAUAUUUCUUCAUCUAGUUCUCCAUUUAAAAAUGCUGUUUUGACAUCCAUUUGAUGUAUAUCAAAGUUGUAUACAGCCGCAAUCGCUAUUAACAUCCUAAUCGACGUUAUGCGAGAAACUGGAGAAUAGGUGUCGAAAUAAUCCAACCCUUCUUUUUGGCGAUAACCUUUGGCUACUAAACGUGCCUUGAACUUAUCAAUGGUUCCAUCCGCCUUAAGUUUCUUCUUGAAAAUCCAUUUAUGACCAAUUGGUUUACUACCGGGAGGUAAAUCAACCGAUUCCCAUGUGUUAUUUUCCAUAAUGGAUUCCAUUUCACUUUUAAUUGCUGCCUUCCAUAAAGGAGCCUUAGAAGAAGACAUUACUUCUUUAAAAGUUCUAGGGUCAUUCUCGGACAAGAAAGCAAUGAAAUCUGGUCCAAAAUUUUUAAAAACUUUGAUUCUUUUUCCUCUUCUUGGUUCCACAUCAUUUCCUUGGACACCAGAAGAAGAGGCUUUAUCAUGACUAUGAUCAUGAACCCUCUUGGUAUUAGAACCAGAUUCAUUUUCUUUGUAAGGGAAUAUAUCCUCAAAGAAUUUUGCAUCUGCUGAUUCUAAUAUAGUGUUGACAUGUAUGUCAGAAAUCGAAGAUUUUACAACAAGAACCUAUAAGCAGCACUAUUAUUUGCAUAUCCAAUGAAUACGCAAUCAAUAGUUUUAGGUCCUAGUUUCGUUCUUUUUGGUAACGGAACUUGCACCUUUGCUAAGCAACCUCACACUUUGAGGGUUUUAUAAGUGGGUCUAUGUCUUUUCCAUAGUUCAUAAGGUGACUCGUCAAUCUUCUUUAGAGGAACCUUAUUCAAUAUGGUAUUUGCAGUAAGUAAAACUUCACCCCACAAACUGUGUGGAAGCCCUGAACUAUUUAACAUGGAAUUAAUCAUAUCUUUGAAUGUUCUAUUUUUUCUUUCGGCAACACCAUUUUGUUGUGGUGUGUAUGGAGCCGUUGUUUGAUGUAUAAUUCCAUGUUGUGCACAAAAAUUUGAGAAGGCAGUAGACUCAUACUCUCCUCCUCUAUCGGAUCUAAGUGCUUUGAUUUUUCUCUCAAGUUGAUUUUCAACUUCGGCUUUAUAUGUCUUAAACAUAUUUAAAGCUUCGUCAUUGCUAUGAAUCAAAUAAAUAUAGCAAUACUUACUGCAAUCAUCAAUAAAAGUGACAUAAUAAUUCUUUCCUCCACGAGUUGGUGUGGAUUUAAAGUCACAAAGAUCACUAUGAAUUAAUCCAAGUAAUUAUUUGAUCUUUCUAGAAUUAACUUUCUCGUUUGCCUAGCAAAUUUCGAUUCAGUACAUGUUUCACACUUAUGAUUAAAAUCAAUUUCGAAUUUAGGUAAUAAUUCUAAUUUAACCAUUCUAUGCAUGGAACGAAAAUUAACAUGUCCUAAUCUAGCAUGCCAAAUAUUAGAAGACUCAACAAUAUAAGUAGAAGCAUUUAUUUUAUUAGCAUCAUCAAUGGAAAUUACAUUGAGUUUCACUAGGCCAUCAGCCACAUAACCCUUUCCAACAAACAUCCCACCCUUGGUAAGUACAAAUUUGUUGGAUUCCAUUACAAGUUUAAAGCCCUUAGCAAUCAGAAUAGGUCUAGAAACCAAGUUCCUCCUUAUUUCAGGAACAUGCAGAGCACAUUCAGCAAGGUGAGACUCUUUCUAGAUGUGAAUUUGAGUACGACUUUGCCUUUGCCUUCCACCGCAAAUGAGGCAGAAUUGCCCAUGUACAGCUUUUCUCCAUGGGCAGUAUGAUGGUAUUCAGUGAAUAGAUUUUUGUCAGCGCAUAUGUGCUUAGUAGCACCGGUAUCCAACAACCAUUUCACAUUUGAGACCAUGUUGACCUCGGACACAACAGCAGCCAAUUCUUCAUUGGUGGUUGCCAUGUUAGCAUGGUUGUUGUUGUUUUCGUUGGCAUGAUUUCCAUCCUUGCGAUGAUAACAAUCUUGUGCCUUGUAACCAGAUUUGCCACACACAUAGCAUGCGCCCUUAAUCUCCUUCAGAUUCUUGCCUUUGGGAGCAAGGGCAGAUUGUACAAAUUGCUUGGUUUUAGAAGCCUUAUUCUUCUUCGGCUUGGCCUUGGAGUUUCCUCCCUCAACAUAAUUUGCAUUGGCUUGAUGAACGGUCUGCCUUUCUAUGGUCAUUUUUCACUCGUAGCCUCAGGAUCAAAUCCUCCAUAUUCAUCUCACGACGCUUGUGCUUAAGAUAAAUUUUGAAGUCAUUCCACGAAGUUGGCAAUUUUUCAAUUAUCGCCCUAACUUGGAAAUGCUCAUUGAUCUCGCAUCCCUCGGAGUGCAGUUCAUAGAUCAAUUUCUGGACUUCUUCGACCUGAGAGACAACAGAUUUUGAAUCCACCAUUGUAUAUUUAAGAAACUUACCGAUAACAAAUUUCUUUGAGCCGACAUCAUCAAUCUUAUACUUUUUCUCUAGGGAUUCCCACAACUCCUUUGCUGUCUUGCACAGAGAAUAAAUGUCGUAGAGAUUGUCAUCCAAACUAUUCAGAAUAUAAUUCCUGCAACAAAACUUGGAAUGAUUCCAAGCUUCAAUUGCUAUGACAGUCUUUUUCAUCAUUGGAUUCUCAUUAGACUUCGGAGCUUCUUCCUUGACAACAUAAGCGAGAUUCAUUGUUGUCAGGAAGAACAACAUCUUCUGUUGCCAUCUCUUGAAGUCCAGCUCUUUGAACUUCUCAGGCUUUUCAGAGUAUUUUGGCACAGCGCCAUUCACAUUUACAGAUUGUUGAUCCAUAAAUUUCUGUUUCAAGAUUGUUGGAUAUAUGUCAACAAUCUAUGAUAAAUUUAUAUAUACUAAUAAAUAAUAAAUACGAAUAAAUAUUGAAUAGAGUAUGAACAACAAAAUAAUUUAAAAAAGAAAGAUUGAAGAUCGAGGCUUGGGUACAAUAUGUCCUUGAAAUAGAAAUUCAUCCCUACUCAGUGCUUGUAGUUAUACGGAUGUCUGCUUCACCAGGAUUCAACGAUCAAGUUAGAAUUCCAGCACUAGAAAACUUAACUUCUGGCGAACUUCUAUGUGGUUAUCUCAGAAAGGAUGUUUGAAAUUGUAGAAGAAGAAUAUUGAUUUUCUGUGUCCUAAAUGCCAUGCAGAUGGAUGUUUAUAUAAUAGAAGGAUGCCUGUUCGCAACAGGUAUGAGAAUGGGAUGUGUCUGUUGGGAGACAUCUUCUCCAGAAGGGUGUUUUGCUCUGUGUUCUUUUUGA
RNAcentral lists this long non-coding RNA (7735 nucleotides) under Malus domestica (apple). Its description in RNAcentral is "long non-coding RNA (MDOM_LNC008193)". The record is from RNAcentral. Lineage: Eukaryota; Viridiplantae; Streptophyta; Magnoliopsida; Rosales; Rosaceae.